CAAUAGCGUAUAUUAAAGUUGCUGCAGUUAAAAAGCUCGUAGUUGGAUUUCGGGUGGGAAUGGCCGGUCCGCCGUUUCGGUGUGCACUUGCUACGCCCACCUUGCUGCCGGGGACGUGCUCUUGAGUUCACGCUCGGGACACGGAGUCGGCGAGGUUACUUUGAGUAAAUUAGAGUGUUCAAAGCAGGCCUACGCUCUGAAUACAUUAGCAUGGAAUAACACGAUAGGACUCUGGCCUAUCUUGUUGGUCUGUAGGACCGGAGUAAUGAUUAAGAGGGACAGUCGGGGGCAUUCGUAUUUCAUUGUCAGAGGUGAAAUUCUUGGAUUUAUGAAAGACGAACUACUGCGAAAGCAUUUGCCAAGGAUGUUUUCAUUGA
Molecule: ribosomal RNA, 377 nt
Filed under: uncultured eukaryote
Lineage: Eukaryota
Description: partial 18S ribosomal RNA
Rfam family: Eukaryotic small subunit ribosomal RNA
Source: RNAcentral